This is a small nucleolar RNA of Spea bombifrons (plains spadefoot toad), 74 nucleotides long. Lineage: Eukaryota; Metazoa; Chordata; Amphibia; Anura; Pelobatidae. The record is from RefSeq and is a predicted model, not a curated record.
AGUACAGAUGAUGUUUGUUAAAGCGAUCAAAGCCUGAAUGCCUGUGAUUGUACUUCAUGUGACACUGAUGUACU